This is a small nuclear RNA of Hyaena hyaena (striped hyena), 104 nucleotides long. The record is from RefSeq and is a predicted model, not a curated record. NCBI's taxonomy places the organism in Eukaryota, Metazoa, Chordata, Mammalia, Carnivora, Hyaenidae.
GCAAGCAAUGCUUUAGCAAUACUAAAAUUGGAACAAUACAGAGAAGGUUAGCAUCGCCCCAGCACAAGGAUGACAUGCAAAUUUGUGAAGCGUUCCAUAUUUUU